CCGCCUCACCGCGUGCACUCGUCCGGCCGGGCCUUCCUUCUGAAGAACCUCAUGCCCUUCACUGGGCGUGCUGGGGAAUCAGACUUUNUACUUUGAAAAAAUUAGAGUGUUUCAAAGCAGGCCUUUGCUCGAAUACGUUAGCAUGGAAUAAUAAAAUAGGGCGUGCGUUUCUAUUUUGUUGGUUUCUAGAGACGCCGCAAUGAUUAACAGGAACAGUCGGGGGCAUCAGUAUUCAGUUGUCAGAGGUGAAAUUCUUGGAUUUACUGAAGACUAACUACUGCGAAAGCAUUUGCCAAGGAUGUUUUCAUUAAUCAGUGAACGAAAGUUAGGGGAUCGAAGACGAUCAGAUACCGUCGUAGUCUUAACCGUAAACUAUGCCGACUAGGGAUCGGGCGAUGUUCUUUUUCUGACUCGCUCGGCACCUUACGAGAAAUCAAAGUUUUUGGGUUCUGGGGGGAUUAUGGUCGCAAGGCUGAAACUUAAAGAAAUUGACGGAAGGUCACCACCAGGCGUGGAGCCUGCGGCUUAAUUUGACUCAACACGGGGAAACUCACCAGGUCCAGAUGAAAUAAGGAUUGACAGAUUGAGAGCUCUUUCUUGAUUUUUCAGGUGGUGGUGCAUGGCCGUUCUUAGUUCGUGGGGUGACUUGUCUGCUUAAUUGCGAUAACGAGCGAGACCUUACUCUGCUAAAUAGCCAGGCUAACUUUGGUUGGUCGCCGGCUUCUUAGAGAGACUAUCAACUCAAGUUGAUGGAAGUUUGAGGCAAUAACAGGUCUGUGAUGCCCUUAGAUGUUUGGGCCGCACGCGCGCUACACUGACAGAGCCAACGAGUUCUUUUCCUUGUUAAAAGAAUUGGGUGAAUCUUGUUAAACUCUGUCGUGCUGGGGAUAAAGCAUUGCAAUUAUUGCUUUUCAACGA
Molecule: ribosomal RNA, 918 nt
Filed under: uncultured eukaryote
Lineage: Eukaryota
Description: SSU rRNA
Rfam family: Eukaryotic small subunit ribosomal RNA
Source: RNAcentral